GGAUCCAGGCUUGCUAAGAGCUGUUUAGAUCCUGGCAAUUUCUAACCACCUGGAAAGACUUCUAAGAUGAAUGAUGGUGACAGACCACAUGGGCAUCUUUUGAGAACCAGACAGUGCCACAGAACAAUUAUAAUGAAUAUGAGAUGACUAGAGAGAACCAGGAAGGACAUCAUGCAGAAGAGGUUACCAGAGCUGUAUCAUGUAUCAUGGAGGAAGCUAGGAAUUCUACGGGGUAGCAAUAAGAAGGAAGUAUGUUGCAGAUGGGGCAGACCACUUUCACAAAGAGAACAGAGAUGGGAGACAGAAUGUGGAUGGAGAAGCUAGAACAGUUUGGAAGAAAGAGUGCAUGAAGAGGAUUAAUAUAAAAUUAGGCAAGCAAUUAGGGCAGCUAAGUGGUGCAACCUGGACUUGUUCAAAUCUGGCCUCAUACUUACUAGUUGUGUGACCCUGGGAAAGUCACUUAAACCUGUUUGCCUCAGUUUCCUCAUCUGUAAAAUGAACUGGAAAAAGAAUGGCAAACUACUACAGUAUCUUUGCCAAGAAAACUUCAAAUGGGGUCAUGAAGACUUGAAUACACCAGAAAGGACUGAAUAGCAACAGCAAUGUUGUGCAAAAGGAACCAGAGUGGGAAGGGCUUUAAAUACAGGUCAAAGGAUUUUUUUUUGUUUUAUCCCAAAGGCAAUAUUGAGUUAUUGAAAAUAUUUCUGUAGUGAGGGAUGACUUGACCAGAUCUAUGCACUUUGGAAAUAUCAUGAAAGAUGGAUUAUAAAGAAGAAAAAAGAGAUAAGGAGACUAAAACUCCUACCCCAUUCACUUGAGAAUUCCUAGUGAAGAUUCUAAUUUAAAGGUAACAGUUGUAUAUUGAACACCUAUCUUCCGAAAAACAUUGAAUGAGAUCAAAGAUAUCCAAACAAAAGAGUGGUACCCAUUCAGCUGGCUUUACAAUGAUCCCAAUUAAAAAAUCAUCUUGCAUUUAUUUUGCCAAAAUUUACAUUUAUGUAUAUGUAUACACAUCUCCCCUGAUUAAACGUAUGCUUCUUAAGUUUAUUCAUUGUUUCAUUUUUGUCCUUGUAUUUCCAGUGCCAGGCACAGAGCUUGGCAUAUGUUAGACACUUAAUAAAGCUUGAUUGAUAAACUGA
Long non-coding RNA from Monodelphis domestica (gray short-tailed opossum), 1139 nucleotides. RefSeq lists it as uncharacterized. The record is from RefSeq and is a predicted model, not a curated record. Lineage: Eukaryota; Metazoa; Chordata; Mammalia; Didelphimorphia; Didelphidae.